CCACAAGGGGGAGUGGGUGCACCCACCCAAGGUGAAAACAGGAAGGUAGAAGGAGUUCAAGAAGUGUUAGAUAUUUAAACAGCCUGCCCUCUAGUGUUAGUUUAAGGUACUGUGCCUUGACUCCAAUCGUGCUUGAACUGAGAACGUUUAGAGACUAUUCUCAUUCUAACGGAAUUUUACUGCAGUUAUCACAAGAACACAGAGUCCAAUCCCAACAGAUUCUAUCAUCUGUGCACUUAACUGCACAAUGUGUGUGUAGCAGGAUUUCUUCGCUGCCAGGUACACAAAUAAAAAUAUGAACAACAGGGUUUCUUCGCUGUUGUUAUACAAAUUUCACUUGAUCAAGGUUUUAAAAA
This is a long non-coding RNA of Sinocyclocheilus grahami, 356 nucleotides long. RefSeq lists it as uncharacterized. The transcript has 2 exons. Lineage: Eukaryota; Metazoa; Chordata; Actinopteri; Cypriniformes; Cyprinidae. The record is from RefSeq and is a predicted model, not a curated record.